AAUUGAAUUAGGGUUUUGGAUUUUUAAAGCUGCGUUCUUCUUUUGCUGCGCCUCCCUCUUCGCGUAGCCGUUGCGUUUGGCCGCCGCCUCCUGCUCUCUCUCUCGAAGCCGGAUUUUGCCGACCGCCUGCCCUUCGUCGCCUCGCCAGAGUCACGGCUGCACAGAAUUCUUCGUCGGCGCCGCUCCGGUUAGUACGCCAGCACUGCCACUGCGUAGUCCUGUGCUCCGCCCACGCCCGGAUGUUCCCCUCACCCCUACGCCGGGAGUCGCACAUUGUGGCCCUCGUGAUCCCCCCGCCCUACUUUCCGGAGAGCACGUGCACUGUACCAAUCGAUCUCCCCCUUGCCCCAGGACGCACGCACGACUUGUUUGCACCGUUGCCUGUUCGGUCGUCUUCUGCGCUGCUCGAGCAGCCGUUCGUCAUGCAGCCUCCGCCGCAUAUUGCUGCCGUACAUGGAGUCGAAGCAGAUAGUCGCCCUCCCAUAUCUAUUGUCAUGUAAAAGGAGGAGAGAAACAACCCCUGCCAAGCAACUGUGAUCGUUGGCCCUUGCCUUAAGCGUCCAAUGGUGACAGGUCUUAUGUUCCCCUUGGAUAGUUCAAGUUUUAUCAUAUCGUUUUUUGGGGGUGCUAACCUUGAUUUUUAGUUCUAAGAUUGAAACUCAGAGCUAUUAUUAGAGGUGGCAGUCACUCGUCGAUGUGUAGAGGCAGUUGAGGAUAUAGAAGAGGAAAUUCUAUCCUGAUGACAUCAUAUUGGAUUGAUGAUAUUAUGACGAUUUUAUUAGUUUGCAUUUCAUUAGAAGAGGAAAUCACAGAUUGAGGUUUACAUUGUUUUGAUUUGGAGUUUUGAACAAUGUUGUAUCGUCGAGGUGACUUGUUAAUAUAAUGGAGUAGGAUAUCAUAGAGAGUUAUAUUAUUGUGAUGUCUCAGUGGUAGGAAGCUUGUUGAUCUAUCUACUUAGAGUAUUUUAUUGUAGUUGUAUUCGUAUACCUAUUUGUCCCUUGUAUUGUUGAUUUUUGAUAAUUUGCAUAUAUGAAAGAUCAUAUGAUGUGUGUUUAUGCCAUUAUGUAGUGGUAACAUAUUAUAUCUUUUAUCAUAGUUUAGUUUAUCUAUAUAGUUAUCUGCACACAAUAUUAUGUAUGACGGUUUGUGUGGUUGGUUCAAUAUGAUAUUGAUUUAAGUCUUCAGCAUGUAGUGAUGUAGACUAAUUAGGUUGUUUUUGGAUGAAUAGAGUAAUGCAAUUAUUUAUUGCCAUGAGAGUUGAUAUAUUACUUAUGAGAGUAGGUAAUUAGAUUCAUAGUCCUAGGUUAAGACAUGGUGGUUAUAGAACAUAACCUAACAUAACACUUAAUAUUCUACUUGUGGACGAGGGUUUUUGAUGAAUGAUGAUGGUUAAGGAUAUGCCUACAGUAAAUGUUGAUUUUAGCGUGAUAAGGGUAUUAGGCUGAUUUGAUUGUGCCAUGACCAGCCUUAGGUUGAUCUUUUUAUCCAAUUACUGCUAUUACAAUUAUUGUUAAAUCUAUCUUGCUUCUAAUGAUGUUAAUUGGUUUGAUUUUCAUGAAAUUCAGUUAGCUGCUAUGUGCUUUGUUUUGUAAUAUCAAUUGUUACAUUUUCUGAUUCUAGAAUCUUGUAAUUAUUUUGCACAUAUAUAUUUGACUUAGCACUAUGCUAGUACUAUGCACGGGCACUUGAAACUUAUAAAUUCAUGAAAAUUGAACUUUUUUUCAUUCAUUUGGCUGAUCUUUACUCCCUAAUAUCAAUGUGCCUGAUAUUUUUUUUACUGUAUAAUUGUAGUGAAACAAAAUCAUUCAAGUGAUGA
Zingiber officinale is the source of this 1816-nucleotide long non-coding RNA. RefSeq lists it as uncharacterized. The transcript has 2 exons. The record is from RefSeq and is a predicted model, not a curated record. NCBI's taxonomy places the organism in Eukaryota, Viridiplantae, Streptophyta, Magnoliopsida, Zingiberales, Zingiberaceae.